This 423-nucleotide ribosomal RNA is filed under the name uncultured bacterium. RNAcentral's name for it is "bacterial SSU rRNA". It matches the Rfam family "Bacterial small subunit ribosomal RNA", at positions 84 to 542 of the family's 1533-position model. The record is from RNAcentral.
UAUUUUAGUUAGUGGCACACGGGUGAGUAACACAUGAGAAUCUACCUGAUAGUACGGAAUAACCACCAGAAAUGGUGGCUAAUACCUUAUAUACCCUGAGGCGGAAAGAUUUAUCGCUAUCAGAUGAGCUUGUGCUAGAUUAGCUAGUUGCUGCGGUAAUGGCUCUCCAAGGCGAUGAUCUAUAGCUGGUCUGAGAGGACGGACAGCCACAUUGGAACUGACAUACGGUCUAGACUCCUACGGGAGGCAGCAGUGGGGAACAUUGGACAAUGACCGAAAGCUUGAUCCAGCCAUGCCGCGUGAGUGAUGAAGGCCUUACGGUUGUAAAACUCUUUCAGCGGGGAAGAUAAUGACGGUACCCGCAGAAGAAGUCCUGGCUAACUCCGUGCCAGCAGCCGCGGUAAUACGGGGAGGGCUAGCGCU